UGUGCUCUUCCUGAUCUGAUCCUUUCUCCACUGCAUUCUUCUUGAGAAUCAAUUGUCUAUAUAAGUGUUGGUUUAGUUCUGAACAUUCUAUUCUGCUCCGUUAUUCUAUUUUCCUGAUUGAAACCAACACCAUACUUUCUGAUUACUGUAGCUCUAUAAAAAAUAAGUCUGAAAAUCAUAUAGUGUAAGUCUUCCAACUUUGUUUUUCUUGUUAAAAA
This is a non-coding RNA of Vicugna pacos (alpaca), 218 nucleotides long. Lineage: Eukaryota; Metazoa; Chordata; Mammalia; Artiodactyla; Camelidae. The record is from RefSeq and is a predicted model, not a curated record.